UACCAUCCAUCAUGUUCUACCGGGGU
RNAcentral lists this non-coding RNA (26 nucleotides) under Mus musculus (house mouse). The record is from RNAcentral. Lineage: Eukaryota; Metazoa; Chordata; Mammalia; Rodentia; Muridae.